ACGCUGGCGGCGUGCUUACACAUGCAAGUCGAACGGAAAGGCCCUGCUUGCAGGGUACUCGAGUGGCGAACGGGUGAGUAACACGUGGGUGAUCUGCCCUGCACUUCGGGAUAAGCCUGGGAAACUGGGUCUAAUACCGGAUAGGACCAUCGUUUAGUGUCGGUGGUGGAAAGUUUUUCGGUGCAGGAUGAGCUCGCGGCCUAUCAGCUUGUUGGUGGGGUAAUGGCCUACCAAGGCGUCGACGGGUAGCCGGCCUGAGAGGGUGGACGGCCACAUUGGGACUGAGACACGGCCCAGACUCCUACGGGAGGCAGCAGUGGGGAAUAUUGCACAAUGGGCGCAAGCCUGAUGCAGCGACGCCGCGUGGGGGAUGAAGGCCUUCGGGUUGUAAACUUCUUUCAACCAUGACGAAGCGUAAGUGACAGUAGUGGUAGAAGAAGCACCGGCUAACUACGUGCCAGCAGCCGCGGUAAUACGUAGGGUGCGAGCGUUGUCCGGAAUUACUGGGCGUAAAGAGCUCGUAGGUGGUUUGUCGCGUCGUCUGUGAAAUUCCGGGGCUUAACUCCGGGCGUGCAGGCGAUACGGGCAUAACUUGAGUGCUGUAGGGGAGACUGGAAUUCCUGGUGUAGCGGUGAAAUGCGCAGAUAUCAGGAGGAACACCAAUGGCGAANGCAGGUCUCUGGGCAGUAACUGACGCUGAGGAGCGAAAGCAUGGGNUAGCGAACAGGAUUAGAUACCCUGGUAGUCCAUGCCGUAAACGGUGGGCGCUAGGUGUGGGGGUCUUCCACGACUUCUGUGCCGUANCUAACGCAUUAG
Molecule: ribosomal RNA, 816 nt
Filed under: uncultured bacterium
Lineage: Bacteria
Description: bacterial SSU rRNA
Rfam family: Bacterial small subunit ribosomal RNA
Source: RNAcentral